AUACGGAGGGGGCUAGCGUUGUUCGGAAUUACUGGGCGUAAAGCGUACGUAGGCGGACUGGAAAGUUGGGGGAGAAAUCCCGGGGCUCAACCCCGGAACUGCCUCCAAAACUUCCAAUCUAGAGAUCGAGAGAGGUGAGUGGAAUUCCAAGUGUAGAGGUGAAAUUCGUAGAUAUUUGGAGGAACACCAGUGGCGAAGGCGGCUCACUGGCUCGAUACUGACGCUGAGGUGCGAAAGCGUGGGGAGCAAACAGGAUUAGAAACCCUAGUAGUCC
Molecule: ribosomal RNA, 274 nt
Filed under: uncultured bacterium
Lineage: Bacteria
Description: partial 16S ribosomal RNA
Rfam family: Bacterial small subunit ribosomal RNA
Source: RNAcentral